UUUUUUUAUUGUGGUAAAAUAUACACGACAUGAGCGUGACCACCUUAACCCUCGUGGAGCGUGCCAUGUGCUGGUGGCAAAGACGCCGCGACGUGCAGCGGCGCCACCGUCCGCCUGCAGAGCCCCGUCACCUGGCACAGAGCCGCCCCCAGCCCCGUCUGCCCCCAGCCCCGUCCCCCCGCCCACGUGCUGUAAGUGGAAGCCCGCAGCGCCGGCCCCUGGGCUGCCGUGUCACCCAGCACGACGUCCUCGGGAUGUGCCCGUGCGGCCGCGGGUCCCCGAUGCCCGUCCUCCAGGCUGAGCAGUAGCCCCUCGUAGGCCGAGAUCACACUCACCCCCCCGGCGGACCCCUGGGUGGCUCCUGUGAUUCAGCCACGGUGGAGGACGUGGCCGUCAACCUGGAAGUGCGUCUUCAGGACUUUGCUUUCCACUCUCUCGGGCACAGAACCACAGUGGAGGGAACCCCUGGGGGGCCCAGCGGUUGAGCGUCUGCCUUCCGCCCAGGGCGAGGUCCUGGGGUCCCGGGAUCGAGUCCUGCAUUGGGCUCCCCACAGGGAGCCUGCUUCUUCCUCUGCCUGUGUCUCUGCCUCUCUGUGUUGCUCAUGAAUAAAUAAAUAAAAUCUUAAAAAAAAAAAAAGCCCACAGUGGAAUUACUGGCUCAUCGGGUAAUUCUAUUUGUAAUGUUGUGCGGAACUGCCACCCCGUUUCCCACAGCAGCUGCGCCCUUUGAGGUUCCAGCAGCGCUGCACAGGGUUCCAAUGCAUCCACACUCCCGCCAGCUCCUGGGUUUGCUUGUUUUCCACACUUGCCAUCCUCGUGGGUGUCAGGUGGGAUCUCACUGUAGCUUUGAUUUGCAUUUCCCACGUGGUUAGCGAUGCCAAGCAUCUUUUCAGGGGCUUGUGGGCCCUGUGUGCAUCUUCUGUGCAGAAAUGCCUGCUGGAGCCUUCGGCCUCUUCUUGGAUCAGGUUCGUUUCUGUUUAGUUUUAGAGUUUCUCUGCCUAUCCUCGAGGUCAGUCCCCUACCAGACGUCAAAGGUGUAUUUUCUCCCAUUCUAUGGGUUGCAUUUUUUUACCCGAUGAUAGCGUCUGAUGCACCAACAUUAAGUUUCCGCCUGUGCCUUCGGUGUCCUACCCCAGAAAUCACUGCCAAGUCCAACGUUGCUAAGCUUGUGCCCUGCACUUUCUUCUAAGAGUUUUACGGUUUUAGGCCUUUGACCCACGUGGAGUUAAUGUCGUAGGAGGUGUGAGGUCGGGGUCUGGGUCCCCCAGCACUAUCUGUUGAAGACACUGUCCUUUCCCCCUCCAAUGUUGUUGACAUCCCCGUCAUCUCACAGUAUAGGAACUCCGUCAAGUGCACACAGGGUAAGCUUCACCACAAACAAGGGCCAAUCCCACUUCCUCCAUUUACCUGCGUGAAACCGGGGGCAAGCUCACCUUCCUGCACCCCCUUUUCCUCCUCUGCUGGUUGGACUGGGUGGUAAGCUCCCCAGACAGGAGGUCUGGCUCCGGCAGCGCCGAGGGCCCCGCGGUCCCGGCAUCAGACACGGCAGCUGUGGAGGAGCCUGUGCACCCUGGGGGCUUUGCCGUCUCGUGGACCAGAGCCACCGCAGCAGCUGUCGGAUGGAGGACUGUCUCCGCUCAGCUCAUCCUCCCGGGAAGUAUGUAGCUGCUGGGCACCCAGGACGGCAGCCAGGCAGCAAGGACUUCGAGGCAAACACACAUGGUGUUCCGGGCAUUUCAAUGCUUUCAGCAAUUGGCUCUGAUCCCCGGGAGAGGAGAGAGAUGGUCGCUCAGGGCUCCCCACUGCUCGGAGAACACGGGCCCCUUCACCCAUCCCGUGUGCCUGCCCAAUGGUGUCACAAGUGUUCCUGAGCCCCCUGUCCACCAUGACCAGCAGUUUUCUGGGACAAUCCAUUAACUGGGCCAAUCCUACAGAGCCCGGGGACUCAUCUGUAGCCGAUCUGCAACCCUUUUCAGAGAGGCCAGAACAGCUGAGACAGUGAAAAAUUGUUCAGUGCAAAGCAAAUGUCAGCUACAACUCAUUUUCAAAGAGAUGUGUAUUUGGAGCUAGGGUUUAACAUUUACCUUCAGAGAGCCGCACCAGUCCCCCCCAAACAAUCUAAGAGUGGUUGAUUCUGUUUAUACAGAUGGGCGCUGCCAGUUAUUACAUAUUAUAAAAAUAAAUGCAUCUCACUAGCGCAUGUUCUUGCCUGACAUUUCCACGCGGCACCGACAGGAUAAACAGUGCUGAGGACCGGCCGCACACACGCUCGGCAGGAAGGGGGGCCGGUGUCUGAGCCGCUGCCCGCUGCGGGGACGCCGUGGCCCUCUACCAGCGGUGUGACCCAGGACCGUCUGGUUCCCAAAGCGGCAAAGGAACGGUACAACCACGCAAGGACGGACCGUCCAGGAAACUCAGCAAGACAUCAAAAAUGCUCUUUUCACUUUGCAAAACCCUCACGCCGAGAAUGCAGAGGCCAGCGAGUCCCUGAGUAGCGCCCUCUGAUCGGGGACGCCGCGCUUCGCACCCACAGCGGACCCGGAAAGUCCUCUGGAAGACGUCGGAAGGUCUGGACGUUGCGCCCGGAGAAACCAGGCCAGGCGGGAGGUCGGUGCUGACUCUGCCCCGGGCCCACCACCUCCCUGGCCCCUCCGUGCUCCGUGGACGCUGGCGACUGGUACAGCCAGGAAGUCACCAUCUCCCAGUGUCUCUCAUUCUGGUCUGACUGCCUGACCCCCAGGGACCCACCAGGACGCAGCAAGCAGAUGGCAUGUCCUCCACAGCCACCGCGAACGCCUUCCACGGAGGGGGGCUCCACGCUCAGACACGAGGCCGCCAGGGCCGCCCCUGACCCCUCGGCUGCCGCGCCUGCUGGGUCUGACAUCGGGCCCCACACCGGGCCCCACACCAGAUGUGCAUCUGGCAGCUCCUGGGCCGGCCCUCCCACAAGCACGGGCAUCGUGAGCCUCGCGGGUGGGGUCUGAAGGGGAUGUGGCGGCCGAGAACACGGGAGCCCUGGGAGCUGCUCCUCAGGGGCGCCCUGCCUGCGGCCACUCGGGCUGCCACCUCGUUGGGAGGGCUGUGCCAACACUCCCACGUGGCCGCCACCUUCCCAAGGCACCGUGUCUGCGAGGAGGGGCCCUCUGGACCCUGCGGAGACGCAAGUGCUUUGGCUGGUUAUGGAUUCGGUGGCAGCGUCGUGUGACAAAAUG
RNAcentral lists this long non-coding RNA (3212 nucleotides) under Canis lupus familiaris (dog). Its description in RNAcentral is "lncRNA (ENSCAFG00000055925.1)". The record is from RNAcentral. Lineage: Eukaryota; Metazoa; Chordata; Mammalia; Carnivora; Canidae.